RNAcentral lists this ribosomal RNA (405 nucleotides) under uncultured bacterium. RNAcentral describes it as "partial 16S ribosomal RNA". It matches the Rfam family "Bacterial small subunit ribosomal RNA", at positions 30 to 526 of the family's 1533-position model. The record is from RNAcentral.
AUUGAACGCUGGCGGCAGGCUUAACACAUGCAAGUCGAACGAGUGGCGGACGGGUGAGUAAUGCUUGGGAAUCUCGCUUAUGGAGGGGGAUAACUACGGGAAACUGUAGCCAAUACCGCGUACUAUAGGAUGUGCACAAGUGGGAUUAGGUAGUGGGUGGGGUAAAGGCUCACCAAGCCGACGAUCUCUAGCUGGUCUGAGAGGAUGACCAGCCACACUGGGACUGCGACACGGCCCAGACUCCUACGGGAGGCAGCAGUGGGGAAUAUGGCGCAAUGGGGGCAACCUGACGCAGCCAGGCCGCGUGAAUGAAGAAGGCCUUCGGGUUGUAAAGUUCUUUCGGUAGCGAGGCGUUAACUACAGAAGAAGCACCGGCUAACUCCGUGCCAGCCGCCGCGGUAAUAC